This 400-nucleotide ribosomal RNA is filed under the name uncultured eukaryote. RNAcentral's name for it is "SSU rRNA". It matches the Rfam family "Eukaryotic small subunit ribosomal RNA", at positions 567 to 963 of the family's 1831-position model. The record is from RNAcentral.
CCAGCAGCUGCGGUAAUUCCAGCUCCAAUAGCGUAUAUUAAUGUUGUUGCAGUUAAAAAGCUCGUAGUUGGAUUUUUGCUGAAGACAACCUGCAUAAAAUUUGUAUGAGUUUUAUUGUUUUGUGUUGUCAUUGGCAUUUGCUGAUAAAUCGUAUUUGGACUUAAUUGCUUAAAUAUGGUGAUGCAGCACUUUUACUUUGAGAAAAUUAGAGUGUUCCAAGCAGGCUGUGCCUUGAAUACAUUAGCAUGGAAUAAUAAGAUAGGACCUUAAUUCUAUUUUGUUGGUUUUAGGAAUAAAGGUAAUGAUUAAUAGGGAUAGUUGGGGGCAUUCGUAUUUGACUGUCAGAGGUGAAAUUCUUGGAUUUGUCAAGGACGAACUACUGCGAAAGCAUUUGUCAAGG